AACUUUUACGAAUCCGGGCUGAGAUUUCGUCAGACACCAACCUAUUAUGACUGAUCAGACUCCCAAGAUAAAUGAAGUU
RNAcentral lists this microRNA precursor (79 nucleotides) under Schistosoma mattheei. RNAcentral's name for it is "mir-3492 microRNA precursor family". It matches the Rfam family "mir-3492 microRNA precursor family". Lineage: Eukaryota; Metazoa; Platyhelminthes; Trematoda; Strigeidida; Schistosomatidae. The record is from Rfam by way of RNAcentral.